RNAcentral lists this long non-coding RNA (3682 nucleotides) under Olea europaea subsp. europaea. Lineage: Eukaryota; Viridiplantae; Streptophyta; Magnoliopsida; Lamiales; Oleaceae. The record is from RNAcentral.
CUCAAAUAGGUUACAUCAAAUCCUAGAUUUAAUAACUUAGUUCAUGAUUGAAAAGAAGAACAUGAUAAAACACAAAUUAAAUUUCAUGAAGAAGAGAAAGAUAAGAAAAAACUCAGGUUGUUGCUCUAUUUCUCAAUCUUGUGGCUUGAUUCUCAGUUUUUCUUCUUCUUCUUCUCCAAAAUCGGUUCGAUCUUCUCUCUAUUAGUGUAUAUCCUUGCCUCCUUUCUUCAGCCGUCCAACCCCUUUCUCUUGUUCUUCAGUUGAGUAUUUAUAUUUUCUAAGGGUCCUCAAGGGUUAGGGUGUGAUUUUUGGGCCGAAAAAAUACUUAGAAACCCGGAUUUUAAUGUUUUGGAAACGGGCGCCAUGGUGCCUGGGUUUGGCGCCGUGGCGCCCAAGUCUCUGCCCCGUUUUUUUCUUUCAUGGGCGCCGUGGCGCCCAGGUUUCUGCUUCUUUUUUCCUUCCUUGGGCGCCAUGGCGCCCAAUGUUCUGCUGGAAUUGCCUCUCAUGGCGCCCCUUUUUCGGCGCCGUGGCGCCAAUGCCACUGCUUUAAUCCUAUUCUCUUUGUUUUUCCAAGCCUAUUUCCCACUCCAAUCUUAUUCAAUACUAGCUUAUUCAUGCUCCUUUUCAUUGAUCAUCAUUUUUGCUCAUCACCGGCUCCCAAUAGUGAUAUUUUCUUGAGAAUUGUCCAAACUGCAAAACAACACUAACACACACAUCAAAACGUUCAAAAAUGCUCAAGAACACAUCAAAAAACUCGAUUUAGAAGCUUAAGCUUAAUGAGUAAAUUACACUCAUCAAGUGAUUAUGAAACCCAGAAACUUUCCUGAAGCUACGCCGAAUACACACUUCUCUGGGUUGAGCUUCAUCUUAUAUUGUCGUAGGGUAACAAACACCUCCUCAAGGUCGAAUAUGUGUUGCUCUACCUUCUUACUCUUUGCAACCAUGUCGUUCACAUAGGCCUUGAUGUUCUUUUCUAUUAAGUCAGCGAAGACUUUGUUGAUGAGCCUUUGAUAUGUCGUCCCAGUAUUUUUCAACCCAAAUGGCAUCACCCUAUAACAAUAUAUGGCUGAAUCGGCCAUGAAUGACGUCUUCUCUUGGUCUUCUUCGGCCAUGAGGAUUUGAUGAUACCCUGAGAAUGUAUCUAAGAAGCUGUACAGCUUAUGUUCAGAUGUGCUAUCCACAAGAUUGUCAAUCCUGGGCAGCAGGUAGCUAUCUUUCGAGCACGCCUUAUUAAGAUUUGUGAAGUCAAUGCAGACCCUCCAUUUACCACUGGCCUUUUUCACAAGAACUAAAUUAGCAAGCCAAUCGGGGUAUUGGACUUCCUUUAUGAACCCCGCUCUCACCAAUUUUCUGACUUCUUCCUAAAUGACCACACGUCUUUCCAGCGCAAACUGCCUUUUCCUUUGUUUAACAGGUUUGGCCCCGAGGCUAAUAUUGAGUUUAUGGACAGCUACUUCUGGGUCUAUCCCCGGCAUAUGCUCCACCUUCCAUGCAAAAACAUCAAUGUUGUAGGUCAAACAAUCGAUGACUUCUUCCCGGAGUUUAGCCCGGAGAUCCCGACCAAUAGUGAUGGCUUUCCCAUGCUCGAGCACGACCACUUCCAAUUCCUCAACGAGGGCCAAUCUACCCCUUGGCUCAAGCUCGAGUUCUGAAAGUUGCAUGACAUCUGUUCUCAUUCCUCGGAUGCUAGUAACAUAGCAUUGCCUAGCAGCCAUUUGGUUUCCUCUAACUACUCCGAUGCCAUGAAUUGUGGGGAACUUCAUGGCAAGGUGGAAAAUUGAUACAAUAGCUUGAAUCUUGUUUAGUAGGGGUCUUCCCAGAAUGAUGUUGUAAGCCAUUGGGGUAUUAACCACUUGGAAUGGCGUGAUCUCCGUCACUUAUGUAUUAACAGAUCCUAAUGUAAGCGGGAGCUUGACGAUGCCCUUGGGGAUAAUGACUCCACCACCAAAUCCCUGUAGAGGAGUUUUUACUACUUUGAGCUGUUUGGGAGAGAUCCCCAUUUUUGGCAAAAGCCUCCUGCAAGAGUAUAUUUGAUGCACUCCCAUUAUCAACUAGGAUCCUCUUUACUUCGAAGUUAGCCACAACCGCAGAAACAACCAAGGCAUCGUCAUGAGGAUAUGAUAUUCCUUCCAAAUCUCUUGCUCCAAAAGUGAUGUCUUUGACUUCAUCAAGGGAUUCCCUUGGGGUAUGAGCAUGUCGGGGGGCAUACUGCUUUUACCCACUAUUUGUGUCUCCUCUAGAUGCUUUGCCCCCAAUGAUAAUAUUAAUUGUCCUGGCAGUGGGUUGAGCACUGCUUCCGGUUCCAGACUCUUUCCGAUUGUCAUGAUAAUUUCUUAAGAAUCCUCUUUUAAUGAGAGCUUUGAUCUCCCGCUGCAAAGCUUGACAAUCCUCCGUGGUAUGCCCAUGAUCCCGAUGAAAUUCACAAUACUUGCUCCUAUCUCUUGUGUCAGGGGCGACUUUAUCUUUUAAGGCCACUUUAAUUAUUUCAUAUCCUUAAUCGCCAUCAAGAUGUUUUAUCUUAGAGGUGUUCAACCGAGUUAGAGGUACUGAAGGCGCCUCAUUUCUGUGCUUUUCCUGAGGAUGCUCAUGCCAGGGAACGGGAUCAUAUUGCCUCUUGUUUUCGACCUUUUCAUGAGGGGGGACCAACUCUUCCUGGAUUCAACGUCUCCUCCAUAUUGAUGUACUUUUCAACUCGGCCACUGUCUGUGGUGGGUCUUGUCAUAAAACCUCGUAGGGUUUCAUUCGGCCCCUGGUGUAGUUACAUGAGGGAGGUUGCGGUCUUCCUGAUUCGCUUGCUACUCAUAAAGAAGGUUGAGAACUUAUCAGCCAAAUCUGAGAAUGAGGCUAUGGAGUUGGGCUCCAAUGUCGAGAACCAAUCCCUAGCAGCAUUAGUCAGCAUUUGUGGAAAGGCUUUGCACAUAACUUGAUUCGGCGCAACUUACAAGUUCAUGACAUCAGUAUAUACAUUAAGAUGGUUGAUGGGGUCGUACGUCCCAUCAUACUCUUUAAUGUGGGGAUAUUUAAAUCUGUCAGGCAAGGGAUAUGACAAUAUCUCUGGUGUGAAUGGAGUGUUAGGGGUGAAACCCGUUGGCCCCCGAGUAUUCCGUUGCAGGCUAGCUGUAAUUUCUUCUUGAAUGAUCCAGGCAAUUUCACCGGAAUCCAUGACGACUGAUCUUGAGCCCGAGGCCAUAUUGUGAAUACCUGAGGUUCCUACUCCGUCAGUUGCGGGGUUUGGUGUUCGUGCUCGAGCAUCAGCCAUAAAACCACCAUACUUUGCCUGUACUGGCGACAGAUGUGAAUUUUUUUCACUUAAUAUUUGCGUGAGCACGGCCACCUGCUGACGAAGCUCUUCAAAGGCUUCGGUUGUGAUGACCACUGGCAGAGGUGCGGGGACUCCUAACGAUUCUUCAUGAGGAGCCGGUUGAUCUUCGGCAGGUUGAGGGAUGGGAGCGGAUGAACUUGCGGGGAGAAGAACUAAUCAUGUGUUAACCAUGGCUUUUGGUAGCGUUUCCCACAGACGACGCCAAUGAUGCUCUACCAAAAAUCGUACUUGUUGAUUUUUCAAGCUUGAUGAUUUUGAUUGAGCACGAUCGUAGUCUUCCAGUACCUGAAACAAAGGAAACGAGGUAUGUUUUCGUCGUCCCUCCGAUACUUAAGUCAGAAAGAGAAUUAUAUGCGUGAG